GAUGAAGAACGCAGCGAAAUGCGAUAAGUAAUGUGAAUUGCAGAAUUCAGUGGAUCAUCGAAUCUUUGAACGCACAUUGCGCCCGCCAGUAUUCUGGCGGGCAUGCCUGUCUGAGCGUCAUUUCAACCCUCAUGCCCCUAGGGCGUGGUGUUGGGGAUCGGCCAAAGCCCGCGAGGGACGGCCGGCCCCUAAAUCUAGUGGCGGACCCGUCGUGGCCUCCUCUGCGAAGUAGUGAUAUUCCGCAUCGGAGAGCGAUGAGCCCCUGCCGUUAAACCCCCAACUUUCCAAGGUUGACCUCAGAUCAGGUAGGAAUACCCGCUGAACUUAAGCAUAUCAAUAAGCGGAGGA
Molecule: unclassified non-coding RNA, 348 nt
Filed under: soil metagenome
Description: partial contains 5.8S ribosomal RNA, internal transcribed spacer 2, and large subunit ribosomal RNA
Rfam family: 5.8S ribosomal RNA (bases 1-120)
Source: RNAcentral